AAACGUAAUAACACUCGAAUCGAAAUCCCAACCCUACAGAGCGAGUAGCGCAGCAGCGUGCCCUUCCCCAGCAUAUAUAUCAGCGUUGAGUAACUUAGCAAACAUAACAUUAUCUCAUCACAAAUUUACGAAUAUGGAGCCAAGGGAAGAAGACUCCAACACAAACAACUACAAUCUCUACGACGCUUACAAUGAGCUUCAUGGAUUGGCGCAGGAGCUGGAGAUGCCAUUCGACGCACCGGCUGUGCUUGUAGUUGGUCACCAGACUGACGGCAAGAGUGCUCUUGUCGAAGCUCUCAUGGGCUUUCAAUUCAAUCAUGUUGGUGGUGGCACCAAGACCCGUCGCCCCAUUACUCUUCACAUGAAAUACGAUCCUCUCUGUGAGGUUCCUUUGUGCCAUCUCGUCUCUGAUCAUGAUCCCUCCAUUGCUCACGAGAAGUCUCUCCAAGAAAUUCAGGCAUAUAUUGAAGCUGAAAACAUGAGGUUGGAGCAGGAAUCUAAUCAGUUUUCUAACAAGGAAAUAAUUAUUAAGGUGGAAUACAAAUAUUGUCCCAACCUUACUGUCAUAGACACUCCUGGGCUUGUUGCUCCUGCACCAGGUCGAAAAAACCGGGCAUUGCAGGCUCAAGCUCGUGCAGUUGAGUCCUUAGUGCGAGCGAAAAUGCAACAUAGAGAGUUCAUUAUAUUAUGCCUUGAAGACUGCAGUGAUUGGAGCAAUGCAACUACGAGGCGUGUGGUUAUGCAAAUUGAUCCUGAGCUUACAAGAACUGUUAUCGUCUCAACCAAGCUUGAUACAAAAAUUCCCCAAUUUGCACAUUCUUCAGAUGUGGAAGUUUUCCUUUCACCUCCUGCUUCUACACUUGAUGGCUUCCUAUUGGGUGACUCUCCCUUUUUCACAUCAGUUCCUUCUGGAAGAGUUGGUAUUGGACAUGAUUCAGUUUACAGGUCAAAUGAAGAGUUCAAACAGGCUAUAUCUUUGAGAGAGAUGGAAGAUAUUACUUCUUUGGAAGAGAAGUUAGGCAGGCCACUGUCAAAGCAAGAAAGAAGUCGAAUUGGUGUGAGCAAACUUAGAUUAUUUUUGGAAGAACUUCUGCAAAGAAGGUACAUGGAUAGUGUUCCUAAAAUAAUUCCACUUCUUGAGAAGGAGUACUGCAGCACAAUAAGAAAACUGAAUGAAAUAAACAAGGAACUCAGCACUUUGGAUGAAGUUAAACUAAAGGAAAAAGCAAGAAUUUUUCAUGAUCUAUUCUUGACCAAGUUGUCGUUGCUAUUGAAAGGAACAGUUGUUGCACCUCCAGAUAAAUUUGGCGAAACACUCCAAGAUGAGAGAACUAGUGGAGGUGCAUUCAUUGGAACAGAUGGUAUUCAGUUGCCACACAAGCUGAUACCUAAUGCAGGAAUGCGUCUUUAUGGGGGUGCGCAAUAUCAUCGGGCCAUGGCUGAAUUUCGUUUUGUGGUUGGAGGAAUGAAAUGCCCUCCAAUUACACGAGAAGAAAUUGUAAAUGCUUGUGGAGUUGAAGAUAUUCAUGAUGGAACAAACUAUUCUAGAACGGCUUGUGUUAUAGCUGUUGCAAAGGCCCGUGAUACAUUUGAACCAUUUCUUCAUCAGUUGGGCUUUAGGCUUUUGCACAUUCUGAAAAGAUUGCUCCCUAUAUCCAUCUAUCUUCUACAGAAAGAUGGUGAGUAUCUGAGUGGCCAUGAGGUAUUUCUACGGCGUGUUGCUUCUGCCUUCAAUCACUUUGCUGAAUCUACAGAAAGAUCGUGCCAUGAAAAAUGUAUGGAGGAUUUGUUGAGCACUACCCGUUAUGUUUCAUGGUCGCUCCACAAUAAGAAUCGUGCCGGAUUACGUCAAUUCUUAGACUCAUUUGGUGGAACAGAGCAGUCCACUGUGCUAAUUAAUUCCAUGUCAGCAGACACAUCUCCAGGACCAUCAAUUGGGUUAGUUGGUAAUGAGAAGCAUGACACUAAACCCAGAACAGAUGUAAAGCUCAGUCAUUUAGCCUCAAGCACUGAUUCAAGCUCUUGCAUUCAAACAACAGAAACAAGGUUGGCGGACCUUCUAGAUAACACCCUCUGGAAUCGAAGACUUGCACCUUCAUCUGAGAGGAUUGUCUACGCUUUAGUGCAACAGAUAUUCCUUGGAAUAAAAGAAUACUUUUUGGCUUCUGCUGAAUUAAAGUUCAACUGUUUUCUUCUAAUGCCAGUGGUCGACAAAUUGCCUGCACUCUUAAGGGAGGACCUAGAAUCUGCAUUUGAAGAUGACUUGGAUAAUGUGUUUGACAUCACCAACUUGCGACAUUCACUGAGCCAACAGAAGCAGGAUGCAGAGAUUGAACUGAAAAGGAUUAAGAGGCUCAAAGAGAAAUUCAAAUUGAUAAACAAGCACCUUAGUUUGCAUCAAACUGUGUGAAGUUUGUCGCUAUCUCAAUCUGCUUAACUUCUGGUUCAACUUCGUAUCAAAUGAACAAAUUAGAAAAUGAGAGACACCCAUGGUCAGUUCUGUACAUGCACUUGCUGUACUGGACAGACGAAGAAACCAUGCCAAAGCAUCUGCAUCAAAGGGCUUAGAUGCCUCUCAGGUGCAGAGCCCUAGGGAAAUUGUUGUAGGACCAACAGAUUCUGGCAAGAGCACUUUGACAAUUAUGCUUCCUAGUUGUGCAGCUAAACAAGGUUGGAAGCCUACAUAUGUUGACCUGGAUAUUGGCCAAGUACAGACCUGGAAAUGAAGAGCUGCACUGAAUGUGGCUGCAGUAGUCUUCUGCUCAAGCCUACUAGAAAAUGGAUGCACAAGUGCUAGGGGUGAAGUUUGUAAUGCUAGACUUUGUAUAGAAUUGCAGUCUCAACAAGUGUAAUAGAAGGAAAUUGUAUUGAGCAAAUAUUUCUUCAAUAAAACAAAGUGUUUGUGUUAGGACUCAUAUAUUUAUUUCCUACAGGAAAAGAGAGGGUAUAAAAGGGAAAUGCAAAAUCGGGAGGUUGCUAUCCUAAUGCAAAACUAGCCACUAAAAAUAUGAAAUGUGGCAAAACAGGGGAAGGAGAGAAAGAAGUAGUUGUGGAAAGAGUUGAAAAAGGAAAGCAGGUGCUGGAAAGGGAGGUAGGUGAAAAAACUAAGGAAAAGUGGGGAGAGAGUGGUUCUCUCGGAAGCUAAGCACGCACAGUGGGGACUCAACUGAGUUUUUGUGUAAUCUGUUGUGAUUGUUUUUGUUGUUGGAAUUAUAAUUGAUUAGCAAUAGCAAAUGAAAAUAGUCAUUGUAUUGAG
RNA transcript from Mangifera indica (mango), 3256 nucleotides. It is a transcript of the gene named dynamin-like protein ARC5, with no coding region annotated. NCBI's taxonomy places the organism in Eukaryota, Viridiplantae, Streptophyta, Magnoliopsida, Sapindales, Anacardiaceae. The record is from RefSeq and is a predicted model, not a curated record. The transcript is spliced from 19 exons.